UGUUUGUUUUUCUUGUGAUGAUGAAGGUACAAGUCCCUGAAGAGGCAGCAGAAGCUAGAGCUGCUUUUAGGAAGCUGUGGGUGGCCCAGGCCUCUUUCCUUAGGCAAGCUGACACCAUUGGUUGAUUUGUAGAUAUUGAAAAAUCUUUGUAUCUGUGGGAUAAAUUCCACUUGAUCAUGGUGUGUGAUCCUUUUAAUGUAUUGUUGGAUUCAGUUUGUUAGUAUUUUGUUGAGGAUUUUUGUGUCUAUAUUCAUCUGUGAUAUUGGCCUGUA
Molecule: long non-coding RNA, 272 nt
Organism: Ovis aries (sheep)
Lineage: Eukaryota; Metazoa; Chordata; Mammalia; Artiodactyla; Bovidae
Rfam family: ST7 overlapping transcript 4 conserved region 3
Source: Rfam